UACAGAGGGUGCGAGCGUUGUCCGGAAUCACUGGGCGUAAAGGGCGCGUAGGUGGCGCGGGCAGUCAACGGUGAAAGUUCGGGGCUCAACCCUGAAUCGGCCGUCGAUACUCCCGUGCUUGAGCACUGUAGAGGCAGAUGGAAUUCCGGGUGUAGCGGUGGAAUGCGUAGAGAUCCGGAAGAACACCGGUGGCGAAGGCGGUCUGCUGGGCAGUAGCUGACACUGAGGCGCGACAGCGUGGGGAGCAAACAGG
Molecule: ribosomal RNA, 253 nt
Filed under: uncultured bacterium
Lineage: Bacteria
Description: partial 16S ribosomal RNA
Rfam family: Bacterial small subunit ribosomal RNA
Source: RNAcentral